GUUUGGUCUUCUAAAAGAGGACACAACUAGAAAUCAGUGGUUAUGUUGUAUCUACAACACUGUUCCUGAACAGUUCAACCCAAAUAUUCAGAUGUGUGCAGCGAAUUUGACGGAGGAUGAGGGCUAUUAACUGGAAGAGUAGCCUACAGUGCCAGUGUCUGUUUCUAUAAAGUGGGGCAAUUCCAACUUUGCAAGGACAGUCUGGUGCUUCUGACUCACAGCCUCUGCUCGGGCUCAUUUCCUCGUUAGCCCCUGGUCCCUGCCCUGGCCUGAAGUCAUCGCUCAGUUAGGCAGCUGCCAGGCCGGCCCUGAGGGUCCCCAGUGGUGAGUGAGGA
Long non-coding RNA from Cyprinus carpio carpio, 335 nucleotides. The record is from Ensembl. Lineage: Eukaryota; Metazoa; Chordata; Actinopteri; Cypriniformes; Cyprinidae.